RNAcentral lists this ribosomal RNA (382 nucleotides) under uncultured eukaryote. RNAcentral's name for it is "partial 18S ribosomal RNA". It matches the Rfam family "Eukaryotic small subunit ribosomal RNA", at positions 592 to 976 of the family's 1831-position model. The record is from RNAcentral.
CAAUAGCGUAUAUUAAAGUUGUUGCAGUUAAAAAGCUCGUAGUUGGACUUCUGCGGGUGGCGGCCGGUCGUGCUCGAAACGGGCGUGAACUUGGCGUGCUGCCCGCAUCUUUGGGGAGAUUGUGCGUGGCAUUAAGUUGUCGUGCAUGGGAUUCUCAUCAUUUACUGUGAAAAAAUUAGAGUGUUUAAAGCAGGCCUUUGCCUUGAAUACAUUAGCAUGGAAUAAUAAGAUAGGACCGUUGUCUAUUUUGUUGGUUUACAGAUGUCGGUAAUGAUUAAUAGGGAUAGUUGGGGGUAUUCGUAUUCAGUUGUCAGAGGUGAAAUUCUUGGAUUUUCGGAAGACGCACGACUGCGAAAGCAUUUACCGAGGAUGUUUUCAUUAA